Long non-coding RNA from Polypterus senegalus (gray bichir), 1412 nucleotides. RefSeq lists it as uncharacterized. NCBI's taxonomy places the organism in Eukaryota, Metazoa, Chordata, Cladistia, Polypteriformes, Polypteridae. The record is from RefSeq and is a predicted model, not a curated record. The transcript is spliced from 3 exons.
UGCGCCUCCCUCCGAAAGUCAGGCCCCACCCCUCCAGACUGCGUGGCGUCGCGGCCGAGAGCGAAGGAAACCAAUCCGCACAGUGAGUGGCUGCGGCCGCAAAUUGCUUCGGGGAGCGCCUGGUACCUCACGGUUCAGUGCAACUCGUAGCACCGUGUCGUGCUUUUUUUCUUUUGUAACAUAAACACGUUUGAAAUGCCGCAUAUCUACUGUCUUCUCCGAGCAGCGCCACCCACAGACAAGGAAGCAGAUGCUGAGAAGUGCAGCCAUGUUAGUGUAAAGAAAGAAAGAACUACUCACGCGCCGUCUUCAUAUUAUAUUUCCUGAGAAUUUUCAGGUAAGGAAGACAGAAGUUACAAGAUUCUCAGAAAGCUGGUGCCUACCUAGCCUGGCAGUGCUGGAUAUGAGAUGUGUACCAUCCAUGGACAGAACACCAUUUCAUUGUAGGGCAAACUCACGUACACAGCCACACUAACGUCACUGGAACAAUUUUGGCAUGCCUAAAAUCUAGUCAUCAUGCUAUCCUUUUCUGUUUGAUUAUGGAUGAAAAGAGCACCAAAAGUAAGAAUUUGGGUAGGUUGAGGGCAAUCAUGAGGAAAAGCUUUUGUAGAACACUAAAAACACAUGAUCAAAAGAGUGUUCAGUUUCCUGAAAUGCUUUCAUAAUAAUUGCAUUUUAUCUCAUCGUAUUGAUUCUGUCAGCAUUUGUUAGAAGACAUUUGUUUUGGUACCUUUUCCAAAACAUUAUUCAAAGUUUGGCAUCUUGGUUGAAUGAUAUCCACCUUUGUAUGAUGUUAAACUGUAUCUGGCCCAGCAAGCAGUCCUCCAACUUGCAGGGAAAUCAUGGGGUUUGGUGGCAGGAUUGGCAUUCUAGCCACAGUAAAAAAAACUUCAUGCAGCUCUGAGAUGACAGACUGGACUCUUUUGCUCUCCGUGGGUGUAGCUCUGCUAAAGCCACCCAUAGGAAAGCUGCUUCCAUUAUGAAGGGGAUGGGGCUCCCAAGGAAGAGUCAAAACCGUCAGAGAACCAAUGGGAUUGGGUCUGUUGGGGAUCAGAACUGAUGUGGUGCUGUGUUGUCACCUGCUGUACAGCAACACUCGGGUACCAUGUAUUCCGAGCUUCGUCAUGUGGUGUGUGUGGCAACGCACUGUACCAGUGCAUGUUCUCCAACCUGACCUGAUAUUUAUAUGUGAAAACUUGUGGGUUGUGCUUUUUGUACCAUAACAAAGGUAUUUGUCGUUAAUCAACAACCUUUAUUCAAACCCGGGACUGUGAUUCUGUGUUCGUGUCGGGGUUUGGGCUUGCUGAAACCUGGGGGUUUGUCACAAUUGUUAAUUGUUGAUUAUUUUUACUGCAUGCUACAGUAAUGACAUUGUCAUUUUUGAAUAAUAAAUGCUAAGCUAUAUAACAAAA